Molecule: ribosomal RNA, 253 nt
Filed under: uncultured bacterium
Lineage: Bacteria
Description: partial 16S ribosomal RNA
Rfam family: Bacterial small subunit ribosomal RNA
Source: RNAcentral
UACGAGGGGGGCAAGCGUUGUUCGGAAUUAUUGGGCGUAAAGGGUGCGUAGGCGGUUUGAUAAGUCAUCUGUGAAAUCUCUGGGCUCAACCCAGAGUCUGCAGGCGAAACUGUCGGGCUUGAGUGUGGGAGAGGUGAGUGGAAUUUCCGGUGUAGCGGUGAAAUGCGUAGAUAUCGGAAGGAACACCUGUGGCGAAAGCGGCUCACUGGACCAUAACUGACGCUGAUGCACGAAAGCUAGGGGAGCAAACAGG